Molecule: small nuclear RNA, 107 nt
Organism: Dromiciops gliroides (monito del monte)
Lineage: Eukaryota; Metazoa; Chordata; Mammalia; Microbiotheria; Microbiotheriidae
Source: RefSeq, a predicted model, not a curated record
GUGUUCACUUCAACAACACAUAUACUAAAAUUGGAAUGAUACUGAGAAGAUUAGCAUGACCUCUGCGCAAGGAUGACACACAAAUUUGUGAAGUGUUCCAUAUAUUU